CUUCCUACGGGGGGCAGCAGUCGAGAAUCAUUCACAAUGGGGGAAACCCUGAUGGCGCGACGCCGCGUGGGGGACUGAAGGUCUUCGGAUUGUAAACCCCUGUCAUGUGGGAGCAAAUUAAAAAGAUAGAACCACAAGAGGAAGAGACGGCUAACUCUGUGCCAGCAGCCGCGGUAAUACAGAGGUCUCAAGCGUUGUUCGGAAUCACUGGGCGUAAAGCAUGCGUGGUAUGUUUCGUAAGUCGUGUG
Molecule: ribosomal RNA, 248 nt
Filed under: uncultured bacterium
Lineage: Bacteria
Description: partial 16S ribosomal RNA
Rfam family: Bacterial small subunit ribosomal RNA
Source: RNAcentral